RNAcentral lists this transfer RNA (72 nucleotides) under Dipodomys ordii (Ord's kangaroo rat). It matches the Rfam family "tRNA". From Rfam's summary of the family: Transfer RNA (tRNA) molecules are approximately 80 nucleotides in length. Their secondary structure includes four short double-helical elements and three loops (D, anti-codon, and T loops). Further hydrogen bonds mediate the characteristic L-shaped molecular structure. tRNAs have two regions of fundamental functional importance: the anti-codon, which is responsible for specific mRNA codon recognition, and the 3' end, to which the tRNAs corresponding amino acid is attached (by aminoacyl-tRNA synthetases). tRNAs cope with the degeneracy of the genetic code in two manners: having more than one tRNA (with a specific anti-codon) for a particular amino acid; and 'wobble' base-pairing, i.e. permitting non-standard base-pairing at the 3rd anti-codon position. Lineage: Eukaryota; Metazoa; Chordata; Mammalia; Rodentia; Heteromyidae. The record is from Rfam by way of RNAcentral.
UCCCUGGUGGCCUAGUGGUUAGGGUUCUGUACUCUGACUGUGGUGGUUGGGGUUUAAUUCCCAGCUAGGAAA